UUUUGUCAAAUCAUCAUGGAUAAAUAUAGCAUUCGUAGACCACAACUUGGCGAAUUGGGCCUGUACUCGUGAAAAAUUCAACCGACUCAGGAACUGAAGGUAAACGACCAUAGGCAAUGACGUGUAACCGCUAAAUGGGCUCUGGAGCAGUAGACAGCUGACCCUAACUUUCAUUGAAAAAUCUUCAAUUCUGGAUCAAUCUUCAAUUCUGGAUCAAUGGGUUGACCUCAUGCAGUUUCUACUAGAUAUUCCAUCUAAUACAAUGUCAACCUCUGGUAGAAGUCCAUUAAAUCUCAAAGUGGAGUGCAGUAGAUUUGCAAAGAAUAAAAACUCAAAGUCG
Leptinotarsa decemlineata (Colorado potato beetle) is the source of this 340-nucleotide long non-coding RNA. Lineage: Eukaryota; Metazoa; Arthropoda; Insecta; Coleoptera; Chrysomelidae. The record is from RefSeq and is a predicted model, not a curated record.